GUGCAAACUGUUCGUUUAACGCUCGCGUAAUGCUCCAAAGCUUGAAGACGUGAUUGUGUGUGCGUGUGUGCAUGUGUGCUGCUGCUACUACUACUGCGCGCGCGAAUGUGUCGCUCCGCUGCAAAGUGCCGACGAAAAUCCAUCCCGUGACAGAAAUGGGACUUGAUCAGCGCGAACUCGCGAGCUCCCAAGCAGCAAUGGCCCUCGUUUGAACGCCCGUCCGACUCGAGCUUCAUUCGCAGCAGCGUCAUCGUCAAGAAUUCUAAUCCCGAAAGAUGCGGGAGCUAGCGGAUUGUUGGAUCCCCGGCUGCUGGUCGUCGUUGGGGAUCUGAGGAAAAUUCUCUUUUCGCUCUUCCGUUUUUUGUCUCUUUUCUAUUUCUUUCUUUUUCGAAAAGAGAAGGAAAUCUUAUUUUCAAUUCAGUCGGGGGAAAAAAAACGGCGAAGAGGAGACAAAGGAAGAAGCAAUGUCGUUCCUGUCGAAUCUGAAGAAGGCGUUCCACUUCGGUGGCAACGACGCCAAGAAGAAGAAGCUCUACAACAACAUCAAGAUGGACGUUAGCCCCGAGGAGUUCUGGGAUAUGGUGGGCGAACUCGGCGACGGCGCCUUCGGCAAAGUCUACAAGGCACAGCACAAGGCGACGCAACAGCUGGCUGCUGCGAAAAUGUGCGCCCUCGAGGGCGAAGACGACCUCAGUGACUUUAUGAUCGAAAUUGACAUCCUCGCCGAGUGCAAACACCCCAACGUCGUCGAACUACACGAGGCUUACUUUAUCGAGGGCAAACUCUGGAUGUUGAUCGAGUACUGCGACGGUGGCGCGGUAGACUCGAUAAUGGUGGAAUUGGAGAAAGCAUUGACCGAGACGCAAAUCGCCUUCAUCUGCCAGCAGAUGUGCAAAGGUCUUGCAUUUUUGCACAAGGCUAAGGUCAUACACAGGGACCUCAAGGCGGGCAAUGUGCUGCUCACUAUGGCCGGUGGAGUGAAAAUCGCGGACUUUGGAGUGUCAGCGAAAAACAAAUACACACUGCAAAAGCGUGACACGUUCAUCGGUACGCCAUACUGGAUGGCACCGGAAGUCGUUUUAUGCGAGACGUUUAGGGACAAGCCUUACGAUUUUAAGGUGGACAUCUGGUCGUUGGGUAUCACGCUGAUAGAAUUCGCCCAGAUGGAACCACCAAAUCACGAGAUGUCACCAAUGCGAGUACUCCUAAAAAUACAAAAGAGCGAUCCACCAAAACUUGAGCACCCGAGUCGUUGGAGCAAAGACUUUAAUGAUUUCAUCGCCAAAGCUUUGAUUAAGGAUCCUACACAGAGGCCGAACGCCGAGGAGUUACUCAGACAUCCGUUCAUCAACUGUACUCUUGAUUCUAAGUCAGUUAGGGAUCUGUUGCUAGAGUACAAGGCCGACGUUGUUGAAGAAGAACUCGUUGACGACGAUGCCGAGAAGGCGAAAAAGGCGAAAAAGCACCGAGAACAGUAUCAACGGAUCGAGAUAAGGCCGAUUUCUGAAACGAAUGUGCAAUCCGGUUUUGAUGUCAACUACUAUCAUCGCCAGGAGCAUCGCACCUCACAGCUUCCCCUGGAAUUGGAUCAAAUCGGAGAUGACUCUACAUCUGUACGUAGCGACAAUGAGCUUAAAGUUGCGGAGAAAGAAAACAGCGUCACGCCAGCGGCGGCCACAGCAACAGUACCGGCAACAGCAGCUAAGAGAGAGGAAAGUAACAAGAGAGAAAUCAACAGGGAUGGUGAAAAGGAGGAGCGCAACAAAAAACUCCGGAAGGCCGAGUCAAAGGAAAAUAUUCCCGUGUCCACGGAGAAGAAGCCGGCUCCAAAACCACCAGUUUCGAACGUGGAAACUAACGAGCGACGUCUAUCGAAGGGACCGGCUCCACCACCUCCGUCGCUCGCUCGACUGGAAUGUAAACCCGAAGAGGUUGUAAAACCAAGUGCCAUGGAAGCAGCGAUAAAGCCAGUAAAUGGUGAGAGUAAGCAACGCCGAAGCUCGGAAGGGGCCAGAAAACCACCACUCAUCCCUGAGAAACCAGAUCAAUCGAGAUCGAAGAGCGUCGAAGGUAAAAACAGAAAUGUCGAAGAGAAAAGAAAGUCGGCACCAAUAAAACCUGUAGAAAAUAUCGAUGAAUGGAAGAAACCAGUGUAUAGCAUGCAGAGUUCACUCGAAGAGAAAGAGCGCGAAAGAAAAUUAUCGACAGACUCAACUCCACAACAGCAAGUUGAAAUGUGUAAACCCUUGGAAAGUGGCAAUGACAGUCGACGUAGUUUGGAACAAAAGCGUAAGUCCGUCGAGGAGAAACUCAACGCCGUGUUGGAGAAACAAUUGUCCCGCGACGUUGAGAAACAACAACAAGAAAUUUUACGAAAACAAACGUCACGCGAUCCGCUAUCACUGAAAGCUAGCAGUCCAUUAAAGGCUAGCAUGUCGACCGGUGAUAUCAAAGCUGCCAGUAAACGUACAAGUAACGAGGAAGCUAGAAGUGAAGGUGGAAGUAGCUCAAGGAACGAUUCGUUAGAAAAUUUCGAUGUUCUUACUCCUGCGAAGAUUGAGGAUACUGUCGAUAAGGCGAGAGAAAAUGUUAUUGUCGGUGGCUCUAGUGUCAACGUGUCGGUCAUCACGUCUACGCCGGUCAAAAGUAACGUGACAAGAAGUGGCAGUGGUGAUAUUGUUGUUAUUACUGGUACGCCACAACCGACUGAUUCUGAACACCGUGCGAAUACCUCAACGACAGUCCGUAUAAUGUCAGAUAGUCCAGACCCAUCAAAUAGUUUAGCUAGUAACGUAAGUCAAGUCACAGUUGUAACUACUCAUCCACCCGUGUUGAUUGAUGCAACGUCGACUCCACCACCACCUAGACGAGAUUCUUCCGAAGUCGUUAUUGUCGCUAAUGAGACCAACAAAACGCAGGUCAAUGAAAGUUCUGCUGAAGAUGACGGCUUCACUAGUCUCGAUAGUCUCGAGUACACGCCACAAGAGGCAGCGAUUGUUAUCGAGCAGAAAAAGAUUGGUAAACGAUUGGACGAGUCAGAAGUGGUGAUUGUCAGUCCAAUCGAGAAUGAUCAACAGCAACUGCCACUUCAUGACACUAGUCACGUGUCCGUCGUCACCGUCGGCGAUGAACGCGAGCAGGUGAAGGACUCGUCGGCGUUGGCUGCUAGUGCUAAUGACGAUAGAGCCAGGAAGUUGGUCAAUGGACAGGUGCGACAAUCGCUUGACCAACCCAUCUCUACGAAGUCAUCUGCAAAAUCAAAGAGUUCAACCGGGAGCGGUAAGUCCUCAAAGCGAGUAUCACCGGACAGUUCGUCAACGGGAUCGACGCGUUCACGUACACCAAGCAAAAGUAUCGACCGUUCAGAUGCUGAAUCAAUCUCGACGACCAUCAGUCAAGACAGCCGAGGCUCGAACAAAGAAAGCAACCACGUUACAAAUGGACCUAGCGAGAACGUUAACAAUAGUGUUAACGAAAGCCAUAGAACAGAAUCCAGACAGUCUUCUGAAAUGGACGAAGAAGUUGUAUUGAGAAGGAAGCCGGAGUACGUUAGAGAAAUUCCAAGGAGGACAAAAGAAGAUAUCGAGAGGAUACAGCUAAUGAAUUUGAAGAAGAAAACUAGGAAACGUACGAGAAAGUUUGAAAUCGAUGGCGUGGUUGUUACGACAACAACCUCUAAGGUUAUCUAUGGUGAUGAUGAGAACGGCAAAUUCUACGAUGACCAAAUCUUCCGUAAACAGGAGCUUCGCGAACUUAAGAUGUUGCAAAAGAUGGAACAGAAACAAUUCCAAGAUUUGUCACAAAAAGCGCAUUUCAACAAAGACCAGCUCGAGAAACGAUGCGAACAAGAACGUCAAAUUCUUGAACGUACCGCAGAAGCAGAACUAGAGACUCUUUUGAGGCAACAACGUCAAGCUCUUGACAAAGCCGAGGCACAGCAGGAGACAGAUCUCAGGCUUGCAUCAAAAAAGAUUAGGGCUGAACAAGAGAGAGAAUUGAAACAAUUCAGAGAAGGAAUCAAGCAGGAUUUGAGAUUACUUAAACAAGAGGUUGAUCUUAUGCCUAAGGAAAAACGCAAGAACGCAUUCAAAGUUAGAAAAGAAAAGCUAGAAGCCGAGCACGAGGAGCGCGAAAAACUUUUCUUGGAAAAGUUGAACGAAACGCACGAUGCAUCGAUGCGUCGAUUAUCCGACAGCCAUCGUGAGAAGAUCGCUUUAAUGGAACGUCAAUUCCUGCAGCAAAAGCAGCAGCUUCUACGUGCACGUGAAUUAGCGAUUUGGGAAUUGGAGGAACGCCAGAUACACGAACGUCAACAGCUUCUCAAACGUCAAUUGAAAGAUAUAUUCUUCCUGCAACGCCAUCAAAUGCUUAUCAGGCAUGAAAAAGAACUCGAACAGAUGAAACGAAUGAAUCAACGUAAAGAAGAGGAAUUAGUUAAGAGACAAACUGUUGAGAAGAGAAAUUUGCCCAAGAGGAUUCGGAAUGAAAUGAAAGCUCGCGAAAUGAUGUUUAGAGAGUCGAUGAGGAUUUCGAUAUCAUCAACGUUAGUCUCAGAUCCAGAUGCCGAACGUGAUAAGUUAAAGAAAUUCCAAGAAAAUGAAAAGAAACGUUACCGCGCCGAACAACAACGUUUCGAGCUGAAGCACGCGAGGCAAUUGGAGGAGAUGCGCGCAUCGAGCGAGUCGACGAUCAAAGAGCUUGAACAGCUGCAAAACGAGAAACGUAAGAUGCUUAUGGAACACGAGUCAAUUAAGCUCAAGGAACAAGAGGAGGCCUAUGCGAAGGAGUUGCGCGAGUGGAAAGCACUGCUUAAACCACGCAAACAGAACUUAGAAGCCGAGCUGGCAUCAGAGAUGGAGGCCCUGGAGUCUAGGUACCGGGGCUACCUACCGUCACGACUAAGCGGCUUCUACUUGACCAACUUCGACUACUCGACCUUCACUACUUUCAAAAGCCCAUCCACGUCCCCCGAAAAACGCCGUUCAUCCCUUGCCAAUUCCACUCCCAGUUCGCCCUUUAGUAUACCAAGAGUAUCUCUGCGUUUUGGUGGCUCAGAUACGAGUUCACUUGGCACUGCUGGCACUUUGCCCAGGAGGUACUCGUCCGGUACUAAACCUGAUCUCCUACCAUCACCAUCUCCUCGUCGAUGAUCCUCUGUGUCUUUUUUUCUGGCUUUCGUGCGUUUUUGGUCGAAGCUGUAUUCGUGUAUGUCUCACAGGUUUCUUGAGAUUUAGAAUAUUGUUCUGAAUAGCUAGUUAAAAACAAUAACAAUUUUUGUUCUCGUAUUCGACUUUUCAAAAUUGUAUAUAUAACGAUGCGAAUGAUAAUUGAUAAAUUAUAUCAUUUCGCGUAAAUAGUUGAAUGGCAAAAUUUAGCUUUGAGUAAAUGUACAUUCUGGUGCAUGCGAAAAAAAGUAAUAUGCAAAUACAAAAUACACAGGUACAGCUUCCAACGACCAUAUCUCGUCUCCGCUUCAUCCUCUCGUGUGUUGUCUUCAAACCUCAAAAAUCCUCCCGUAGCAAUGAAAUUAAUCCGACUAAAUAUUGAAUGUUCGAGUUUAAAAUCUCGAACUCGAAUGACUCGAUUACUUUAUCGUGAUCUUUGUUUUCCUUUCAAUUAAUGAAUUAUUCCAUUGUGUUUAUUUAAAUACUGCUUUUUGAAAAUCUUAAGCCGUGCGGUUUAACACUUCAGAUAUGUUUUGAUGAUUAAUAUUUGAGUUUAUUUUAUUUCACACAGCAUUUAGUUUCAAAACACUAAUAAUUUUUUGUGUUUGAAUCGAGUUUCUCGUAAUUUAACAUUGAUUUAUGUCUCGUAAUGUUAACGAGGAAUCCGCCAAAACUGAAUCAAAGAUGUUCAACAGAAUUUUGUAAAGGUUUUGACCGAGCUUACAUUUUUUUUCUUGUACAAAAUUUAUUUACGUUCAUUACUAAUAAAACAAAAAAUUAAAUUUAUUGUAUUAAUUUAAAAUGUAAUAAUAUAUUAGUUUCAGCACAAAAAUAUCAAAAUAUUAGAUACACAAAAACGUAGUAUAGCAUAGAUGAUAAUCUACAAUUACGCUGAAUUUUUUUCUUUCUGUAACGUAAUAUACAGAUUGAAAAAUGUUGUAUUUCAACGCGUCGUUUGCUCCGAAGAAACGUAAGCUUUUUACGUAUGCUGACGUGAUGUUAGUUUUGCUUUUUUCAUUUUCUCACUCUGUUCAUAUUUCAUCUGUACUCUUUUCGUUAGCUAAAAACCAACCAAGCCGCUUGCACGUAUUAGUCGAGCGUCACCAGUCUAUUUGCUUGUCGGCGUUGUUCUCUACAAUACUUUGUUGACUGAAGUCAUUCUGCUCAUCUACUUCUCUUUCAUCGUCAUUAUUGUCGUCAUCAUCAUCCCCGUCUUUCGAGUUUCCUUGGCAGUCACUGAUUUGGUUCUUCAUAUUAUUAUCAUCACUUCCAGCUCCUGUUUAAGCCAUUCUUAUCAAAGAACCGUGUCACAGAAACAGCACUACUCUGUAAGUCACUUCAAGGUCUCUAAUGUUUUUCUCCGCUAGAAGCGCUAGGAUUGGUCUGGAUAGGUGUAAAGGAUGUGUUCCUAUAUGGCCUAUUUUUUCCACCUUUGUGGAAUUAAAACCAUUUAAGUGCACUGUAGUUUUUGCCACAAUUAUUACAUUGUCAAAAACUUACAUUUCUAGCCAAUACGAAGACGCUUUGCUGGAAUUUCUUUUUAUAUUUAAAGUAUCCUGCAAGAUAUUUUUUUUGUUUGAAUUUAUUUUAAUAGUAAGUUGACUAUACACGCCAGCUUUAUACGCAUCCAGGAUGUUCGGUUUAAGUUUCCACUACUAAAACCACUGUUAAGUCUCAAUAACGUAGCCGAGACUUGUGUUUAUUGAAAAUAAAAUAAUGUUUUAUUUAUUUUUAUUAUUACCGAUCACUCGAUAAUCUAUCUGUGUUUAUUUCUGUUAGGGCAGGUCUUGGCAGUUUCCUUUGUACUUCUUUACUCGGCUGUUAUUUUGUAGUGCUCUGCUCUGCUUACUGAGCUUUUUUGGUUGGCUUUGCUUGGAUCUAUCCUCCUCGAUGAGGUUGAUGACUUUGACAAUAAUCAUAUAUGAACGCUCGGUUUUUGAUAGUCAAUAGAAUGGUCUAUUUGUUUAAUAAUAAUAAGUAGGAAUUGAGAAAUAAAUUCCAUGUAAAUGUAAAUUUAGUAAUGAUCUAAUCGAGUAAUAUUGAUUAAAUAUUGAAUGUGAUUUCUUCGAUUUCUUCGUCGUGGUCUUUGUUUUCCUUUCAAUUAAUUAAUGAUUCGAUUGUAUCUAUUUAAGUUAUACUUUUUGAGAUUCUUAAGCUGCGCGGUUUAAUACUUGAGAUGUAUUUUCAUGAUUAAUAGUUCAGUCUGCUUUCAUUCGCACAGCAUUUAAUUUCAAGACACUAAUUAUAUUUCAUGUUUGAAUCGCAUUUCUCGUGAUUUAACAUUGAUUCAUGCCUCGUAAUGAUAACGAGAAAUCUGCCAAAACUUAUUUAAAAUGUUCAAUAGAAUUUUGUAAAGAUUUUGUCCGAGCUCGCAUUUUUUCUUGUACAAAAUUUCUUUACGUUCAUUGCUUGUAAAACGAAAAAUUAAAUUUGUAUUAAUUAGUAAUAAUGUAAUAAUAAUUCGCUUCGGUAAAAAAAAUAUAAAUAUUGUAUACACAUCAAAAAGAAGUGUAGCAUAGAUAAUAAGCCACAAAUACGCCGAACGUUUUCCUUUCUGCAACAAGAUAUAGAGGUUAAAAAAUGUAUUUCGACGUGCUGUUUGCUGUGAAAAAAAACGUAAGCUUUUUGCCUAUGCUGACGUGUGUUAUUUUUGCUUGCUCCUUUCUUGCUAUGUUCGUAUUUCAUUUGUAGUGUUUACGUUAGCUAGAAAAUCGACCAAUCCACUUGCACGAGUUAGUCGAUUGUCGGCAAAUAUAAUAGGCAUGCAAUAUUUUUGCUACUUACUUCAUAGAGUAAUAUAUUUUUUGAAGUGUCUGUCAUUGGAGCUACAAUAUCCCUUACCUACAAAAUGAUUAUCCCUUGAAAAAUGUUAUUGUCCUGUGUGGUAAAUCUCUUUUUAUGUAAUUUGUCUUUGUAGCCAUUUACUUAUUUUUAUGUAAGUCAUAAAAAUCAUGUAUGUACAUGUACGUCAAGGUAACGCAUGGUCAUAAUACAAUAAUAUCUACGUUUUGCAAAUGCAAGUGUUCAUUUUGGGUAAGACGAAUCGGGCUAAUGGUGAUCAUAUAUAAUCAUUACGUUUCAUUAUCCCAUUAUGUUUAUUAUGUUUUUGGGUGCUUGAACUUUUUUGUGUUCUUAAAACAAUGAUAACGUCCAAAAAAACAUAUCGAUCCUUAUUUCGCGCAAAGUACCCCUAUGAACGGAAAUUUGGAUUUGGAUUUGAGAGAUGAAGAUCUCUCGUCGGAAAAUUUAUCACGAAGAAGCUAGAAGAACAAUUUGCCAUGCAGCUCGAGGAGCAAGAAUCGGUGUACAGCCCGAGCGCCGUGCCUCUGUGCCUACCACCGGAUCUGCCCGACUUGACUCACCACACAGCAGGCGGCGGCUCAACUCGUAGCUCG
This is an RNA transcript of Phymastichus coffea, 8560 nucleotides long. It is a transcript of the gene named serine/threonine-protein kinase 10, with no coding region annotated. The transcript is spliced from 20 exons. The record is from RefSeq and is a predicted model, not a curated record. NCBI's taxonomy places the organism in Eukaryota, Metazoa, Arthropoda, Insecta, Hymenoptera, Eulophidae.